GGGAGGCAGCAGUGGGGAAUCUUAGACAAUGGGCGCAAGCCUGAUCUAGCCAUGCCGCGUGAGUGAUGAAGGCCUUAGGGUCGUAAAGCUCUUUCGCCGGAGAUGAUAAUGACAGUAUCUGGUAAAGAAACCCCGGCUAACUCCGUGCCAGCAGCCGCGGUAAUACGGAGGGGGUUAGCGUUGUUCGGAAUUACUGGGCGUAAAGCGCACGUAGGCGGAUCAGAAAGUUGGGGGUGAAAUCCCAGGGCUCAACCCUGGAACGGCCUCCAAAACUCCUGGUCUUGAGUUCGAGAGAGGUGAGUGGAAUUCCGAGUGUAGAGGUGAAAUUCGUAGAUAUUCGGAGGAACACCAGUGGCGAAGGCGGCUCACUGGCUCGAUACUGACGCUGAGGUGCGAAAGUGUGGGGAGCAAACAGGAUUAGAUACCCUGGUAGUCCACACCGUAAACGAUGAAUGCCAGUCGUCGGGUAGUAUACUGCUCGGUGACACACCUAACGGAUUAAGCAUUCCGCCUGGGGAGUACGGUCGCAAGAUUAAAACUCAAAGGAAUUGACGGGGACCCGCACAAAAGGG
Molecule: ribosomal RNA, 572 nt
Filed under: uncultured bacterium
Lineage: Bacteria
Description: bacterial SSU rRNA
Rfam family: Bacterial small subunit ribosomal RNA
Source: RNAcentral